Molecule: ribosomal RNA, 253 nt
Filed under: uncultured bacterium
Lineage: Bacteria
Description: partial 16S ribosomal RNA
Rfam family: Bacterial small subunit ribosomal RNA
Source: RNAcentral
UACGAAGGGGGCUAGCGCUGCUCGGAAUUACUGGGCGUAAAGCGUGCGCAGGCGGUUUUGUAAGCCAGAUGUGAAAUCCCCGGGCUCAACCUGGGAAUGGCAUUUGGGACUGCAAGGCUGGAGUGCGGCAGAGGAGACUGGAAUUCCUGGUGUAGCAGUGAAAUGCGUAGAUAUCAGGAGGAAUACCGAUGGCGAAGGCAGGUCUCUGGGCUGACACUGACGCUCAUGCACGAAAGCGUGGGGAGCAAACAGG